AGAAUCAACGCUGGCGGCGUGCCUAACACAUGCAAGUCGAACGCGACUUGGGGCUUCGGUUCCAAGUUGAGUGGCGAACGGGUGAGUAACACGUGGGUGAUCUACCUUCGAGCGGGGGAUAACGUUCCGAAAGGACGCUAAUACCGCAUGACGUCCUGGGUUUAAAGACCUGGAGACCAAAGCUAGGGACCGCAAGGCCUGGCACUUGAAGAGGAGCCCGCGUCCGAUUAGCUAGUUGGCGGGGUAACGCCACAAGGCGACGAU
RNAcentral lists this ribosomal RNA (264 nucleotides) under uncultured soil bacterium. Its description in RNAcentral is "partial 16S ribosomal RNA". It matches the Rfam family "Bacterial small subunit ribosomal RNA", at positions 26 to 280 of the family's 1533-position model. The record is from RNAcentral.